UACAGAGACUGCAAGCGUUAUUCGGAUUCACUGGGCGUAAAGGGUGCGCAGGCGGCCGUGUGUGUGAGGUGUGAAAGCCCGGGGCUUAACCCCGGAAAUGCGCCUCAAACUACAUGGCUAGAGCAUUGGAGAGGGUAGCGGAAUUCAUGGUGUAGCAGUGAAAUGCGUAGAUAUCAUGAGGAACACCAGAGGCGAAGGCGGCUACCUGGACAAUUGCUGACGCUCAGGCACGAAAGCGUGGGGAGCAAAAGGGAUUAGAAACCCCCGUAGUCC
RNAcentral lists this ribosomal RNA (273 nucleotides) under uncultured bacterium. RNAcentral's name for it is "partial 16S ribosomal RNA". It matches the Rfam family "Bacterial small subunit ribosomal RNA", at positions 524 to 796 of the family's 1533-position model. The record is from RNAcentral.